This 501-nucleotide ribosomal RNA is filed under the name uncultured bacterium. Its description in RNAcentral is "bacterial SSU rRNA". It matches the Rfam family "Bacterial small subunit ribosomal RNA", at positions 29 to 518 of the family's 1533-position model. The record is from RNAcentral.
ACGAACGCUGGCGGCGUGCCUAACACGAUGCAAGUCGAGCGGGGACGAUGCGACGGAAGUGAAGUUUCGGAUGGAGCUGAAGAUGUAUGUUCUAGCGGCGGACGGGUGAGUAACGCGUGAGCAACCUAUCCUCACAGGGGGAUAACACAGCGAAAGUUGUACUAAUACCGCAUAAGACCACGAUCGGGGCAUCCCGGAGGGGUCAAAGGAGCAAUCCGGUGAAGGGUGGGCUCGCGUCCGAUUAGAUAGUUGUGGGUAACGGCCUACCAAGUCGACGAUCGGUAGCCGACCUGAGAGGGUGAUCGGCCACAUUGGGACUGAGACACGGCCCAAACUCCUACGGGAGGCAGCAGUGGGGAAUAUUGGGCAAUGGGGGAAACCCUGACCCAGCAACGCCGCGUGAGGGAAGAAGGUUUUCGGAUCGUAAACCUCUGUCCCAGGUGAAGAGAAAGAGACGGUAGCCUGGGAGGAAGCCCCGGCUAACUACGUGCCAGCCGCCGC